Molecule: ribosomal RNA, 700 nt
Filed under: uncultured bacterium
Lineage: Bacteria
Description: bacterial SSU rRNA
Rfam family: Bacterial small subunit ribosomal RNA
Source: RNAcentral
AGAGUUUGAUCCUGGCUCAGGAUGAACGCUGGCGGCGUGCCUAAUACAUGCAAGUCGAACGCGAGACGAGGGAGCUUGCUCCCUCCGAUCGAGUGGCGGACGGGUGAGUAACACGUAGGCAACCUGCCCAUCAGCCGGGGAUAACUGCGGGAAACCGUGGCUAAUACCGGAUAAACCUUUCCUCCGCGGGGAGGGGAGUUGAAAGACGGUUUCGGCUGUCGCUGAUGGAUGGGCCUGCGGCGCAUUAGCUGGUUGGUGGGGUAACGGCCCACCAAGGCGACGAUGCGUAGCCGACCUGAGAGGGUGAUCGGCCACACUGGGACUGAGACACGGCCCAGACUCCUACGGGAGGCAGCAGUAGGGAAUCUUCCGCAAUGGACGCAAGUCUGACGGAGCAACGCCGCGUGAGUGAAGAAGGGUUUCGGCUCGUAAAACUCUGUUGUUAAGGAGGAAUGACAGGUAGAGUAACUGCUACCUGUGUGACGGUACUUAACCAGAAAGCCACGGCUAACUACGUGCCAGCAGCCGCGGUAAUACGUAGGUGGCAAGCGUUAUCCGGAAUUAUUGGGCGUAAAGCGCGCGUAGGCGGUCUUUUAAGUCUGAUGUGAAAGCCCCCGGCUCAACCGGGGAGGGUCAUUGGAAACUGGGAGACUUGAGUGCAGAGAAGAAAGUGGAAUUCAUGUGUACCGUGAAAUGCGCA